AUGAACGCUAGCGGCAGGCUUAACACAUGCAAGUCGAGGGCAGCACUUGUAGCAAUACAUGGUGGCGACGGCGCAAGGGUGCGUAACGCGUGAGCAACAUGCCCGUAUCAGGGGGAUAAUCCAGGGAAACUUGGUCUAAUACCCCAUAGCAAUUAUUUGAGGCAUCUUAAUAAUUUAAAGCUUUGGUGGAUACGGAUUGGCUCGCGUGACAUUAGCUAGAUGGUAAGGUAACGGCUUACCAUGGCUACGAUGUCUAGGGGUUCUGAGAGGAAGAUCCCCCACACUGGAACUGAGACACGGUCCAGACUCCUACGGGAGGCAGCAGUGAGGAAUAUUGGACAAUGGAUGGAAAUCUGAUCCAGCCAUGCCGCGUGCAGGAAGACGGCCCUAUGGGUUGUAAACUGCUUUUGUGUGGGAGCAAUAAGGUCUAUGCGUAGACUGAUGAGAGUACCAUACGAAUAAGCAUCGGCUAACUCCGUG
RNAcentral lists this ribosomal RNA (480 nucleotides) under uncultured bacterium. RNAcentral's name for it is "bacterial SSU rRNA". It matches the Rfam family "Bacterial small subunit ribosomal RNA", at positions 29 to 507 of the family's 1533-position model. The record is from RNAcentral.